RNAcentral lists this ribosomal RNA (429 nucleotides) under bacterium. RNAcentral's name for it is "partial 16S ribosomal RNA". It matches the Rfam family "Bacterial small subunit ribosomal RNA", at positions 355 to 776 of the family's 1533-position model. The record is from RNAcentral.
UAGGGAAUCUUCGGCAAUGGGGGCAACCCUGACCGAGCAACGCCGCGUGAGUGAAGAAGGUUUUCGUAUCGUAAAGCUCUGUUGUAAGAGAAGAACGUGUGUGAGAGUGGAAAGUUCACACAGUGACGGUAACUUACCAGAAAGGGACGGCUAACUACGUGCCAGCAGCCGCGGUAAUACGUAGGUCCCGAGCGUUGUCCGGAUUUAUUGGGCGUAAAGCGAUCGCAGGCGGUUUAAUAAGUCUGAAGUUAAAGGCAGUGGCUUAACCAUUGUUCGCUUUGGAAACUGUUAAACUUGAGUGCAGAAGGGGAGAGUGGAAUUCCAUGUGUAGCGGUGAAAUGCGUAGAUAUAUGGAGGAACACCGGUGGCGAAAGCGGCUCUCUGGUCUGUAACUGACGCUGAGGCUCGAAAGCGUGGGGAGCAAACAGG